ACGAAGGGUGCUAGCGUUGUUCGGAAUCAUUGGGCGUAAAGGGUGCGUAGGCGGUUUAGUAAGUCAGUUGUGAAAGCCCCAGGCUCAACCUGGGAACUGCAAUUGAAACUGCUCGACUAGAAUUUGGUGGGGGAUAAUAGAAUUCCUAGUGUAGGGGUGAAAUCCGUAGAUAUUAGGAGGAAUACCAGAGGCGAAGGCGAUUAUCUAUACCAAUAUUGACGCUGAGGCACGAAAGCGUGGGGAGCAAACAGG
RNAcentral lists this ribosomal RNA (252 nucleotides) under uncultured bacterium. Its description in RNAcentral is "partial 16S ribosomal RNA". It matches the Rfam family "Bacterial small subunit ribosomal RNA", at positions 525 to 776 of the family's 1533-position model. The record is from RNAcentral.